CCUACGGGUGGCAGCAGUGAGGAAUAUUGGUCAAUGGACGAGAGUCUGAACCAGCCAAGUAGCGUGAAGGAUGACUGCCCUAUGGGUUGUAAACUUCUUUUAUAAAGGAAUAAAACGAGGCACGUGUGCCUUUUUGCAUGUACUUUAUGAAUAAGGAUCGGCUAACUCCGUGCCAGCAGCCGCGGUAAUACGGAGGAUCCGAGCGUUAUCCGGAUUUAUUGGGUUUAAAGGGAGCGUAGAUGGGUUGUUAAGUCAGUUGUGAAAGUUUGCGGCUCAACCGUAAAAUUGCAAUUGAUACUGGCAGUGGUGAGUACAGUUGAGGUGGGGGGAAUUCGUGGUGUAGCGGUGAAAUGCUUAGAUAGCACGAAGAACCGCGAUUGCGAAGGCAGCUUACUAAACUGUGACUGACAUUGAUGCUCGAAAGUGUGGGUAUCAAACAGGAUUAGAUACCCGGGUAGUC
RNAcentral lists this ribosomal RNA (460 nucleotides) under uncultured bacterium. RNAcentral's name for it is "partial 16S ribosomal RNA". It matches the Rfam family "Bacterial small subunit ribosomal RNA", at positions 338 to 795 of the family's 1533-position model. The record is from RNAcentral.